UCACUGUUAAUUUCUUUUGCUUCAAG
This 26-nucleotide non-coding RNA is filed under the name Cricetulus griseus (Chinese hamster). The record is from RNAcentral. Lineage: Eukaryota; Metazoa; Chordata; Mammalia; Rodentia; Cricetidae.